UGGCAUAGAAGUAUGAUAGGCAAGCCAGGCACAGUAGUGCAAGCCUGUAAUUCCAGCAGCUCCAGAGGAUGAGACAGAAGAAUAGUGAGUUCAAAACCAGGUUCAGCAACUUAGUAAGGCUCUAAGCAACUCAGUGAGACCCUGUCUCUAAAUCAAAUACAAAAACGACUGGGGAUGUGGCUCAGUGGUUAAGUGCCCCUGGGUCUAAUCCCCAGUAACAACAACAAAAAAAAAGUAGUAUGCCUGUCUUGUUACAGCUUGGCAAAGAGACCUGUGUGGCUGCAGAGCAAGCCAGGGAAGAGUAGAAGGGGAUGGAAUAACAGUGCAGUAGCACAUACCUGUAAACCUAGCACCCAAGAGGCUGAGGCAGGAAGAUCGCAAGUUCAAGCCCAGCCUUAACAACUUAGUGAGACCCUGUCUCAAAAUGAUAAUAAUAAGAAAUGGGAAUGUAGCUCAGUGGUAAAGCACCCCUGCGUUAAUUCCCUAGUACCCAAAAAAGGAGGGGGGAUGCACAUGGAAAGCACAUGUAAGUCUUUGAGAAAAAAAUGAUGGAGCUACCCCUGUGCCUUUCUAGGGGAAGAGCAUUCCAGAGAACAAAGCACAUGGAAAAGUUCUGGCAUAGAAGUAUGAUAGGCAAGCUAGGCAAGCCUGUAAUUAGAGAACUAACAAGGUCAAGAUUCCAUGUGGUACAGUUAGCAAUUGAGACUUCUUUGGUGCGGGGGGACAUGGAACUUUUAUUCCAAAUGAUAUAGGAGCCUUUGCAAAGUUUUUGAGAAGAGGUUUGACAACAAAAUAAUAGGACUGCUCUGCUACUCAGUUGAGAAGAACCCAAAGCAGGGAAGGGGGAGAAGAAAGGAGGGAAAUCAGGCUAUUGUGAUAAUCUAGUAUAGAGCUGAUAGCAGCGUGGAACAAAGUGGUAGCAGUGCAGGCUGCUAGAAGUGAUUGAAUUCUGGACAUAUUUUGUAGGUAGAGCCAAAAAUUUGCUGACUGACCAGAUGUGGGGUUUGGCAGAAGAGUCAAAGGUUCCUUAAGCAACUGGAAGGAUGGGGCUGUCACUGAGAUAGGGAAAUCUGCAAGAAAAAUGUGUGUGUGCACAAGUGUAUGAGCAUGCAUCAGCAGAGGAGGCUAUAAGGAGUUCAGUGUUGGACAUGUAAAGACAUAAGACUGAAUGAGAUCGCCAUGAGAAUGAGUACAGAUUGAAGAGAAGACCCACAAUGAUUGAACUCUGGGGUACUCAAGCAUUUAGAAGUGAGACAGGGAAGAAUCAACUAGUAAGAUUCUGAAGCAGAGCUGGGUGUGGUGGUGCACACCUGUAAUCUCAGUGGCUAGGGAGGCCGAGGCAGGAGGAAAGUAAGUUCAAAGCCAGCCUUGGCAACUUAGCAAGGCCCUAAGCAACUUAGUGAGACUCUGUCUCUAAAUAAAGUCUAAAUAUAAAAAGGGCUGUGGAUGUGAUUCAGUGGUUAAGCACCCCUGGGUUCAAUCCCCAGUACCAAAAAUAGAAAAAGAAAAGAAAUUCCGAAGCAUUAGUCUGAAAGGGGAAAAAAAAAAACACAAGCAACUAUGGUGUUCUGGAAACAAAAUGAAGAAAAUACUACAGGCAGGAGUCAACGAAGACAAAUAUUGACAUGUUGGAUAAGAUCAGCUCAGAAAGGUCACCCAUUAUAUGAUUCCCUUUAUAUGAAAUGUUCAAAAUAGAAAAACCCAUACAGAUAGAAAGAUUAGUGCUUACCUAGUGCUGGAGGAGGGGGAGAAUGGAGAAUAGUUGCUAAUGGGUAUGAAUAUCUUUUUGGAUGACAAAAAUGUUCUGGAAGUAGCUGGCUACAGUGACAUGACAGUAAUCCCAGGGACUCAGACUGAGGCAGGAGGAUCACAAGUUGGAGGCCAACCUCAGCAAUUUAAUGAGACCCUCUCUCAAAAAAAGUAAAAAGGGCUGGGAUGUAACUAGGUGGUAGAGCAGCCCUGGGUUAAUCCCCAUUAUAUCACACCCCCCCCCCCAACCCGGCAAAAUGUUCUGGAAUUGGUGAUGUCUGGAAUAUACUAAAAUCCACUAAUGGGUAUGUUUGGGAAUGGUGAUUUGAUGGUAUGUGAACUAUACCUCAAUUUUAAAAUAGAAUAGGAAGCCAGCAUGUAUGAUUUUUGUCAAAAUGAACCCAACUACUAUGUAUAAUUAUAAUGCUAUAAUAAAAAAGAGUAAUAAGGCAGAUAUAUUGGCACAUACCUAUAGUCCCAGCUCUUUGGGAGGCUGGGGCAAGAGAAUCAGAAGUUCCAGGCCAUUCAGGGCAACACAGCAAGAGCUUAUCAGAGCUUAUCUCUUAAAAAAAAAAAAAAAAAGAACAGGAGGUGAGGAAUUGGAAACAAUGAGUACAGACAAAUCUUUCCCAGAGUUCUGUUUUAAAGGGAAGGACAGAAAGCAGUAAUCAUGGGCUGGGGAUGUGGCUUAGUUGGUAGAGUGAGGAUGUAGCUCAGCAGCAGAAUACUUGCCUAGCAUGUACAAGGCCUUAGGUUCCAUCCCCAGAAUUCCAAAAACAAUAAAGCAAGUUUGCCUAGAAAAUAUUAAGAGAAAAAUACCAGAAGUAAACAAUUCAUAAGUUUUAAAUUGUGUAUUAUUCAUAAUGGAAGAUGGGCAUUAUCCCAUUGUCUAACACAUCCACACUAUAUAUUCUACCUGCCCAGUAAUCAGUAGCCUUCUGGGUUAAUAGAUCAACUCUUGCAAUAUUAUAGUACCUAUUUUUGAGUAACCCUUAUUUUACUUACACCACAAGAGCAGUGAUGUUGACAAUUCAGAUAUACCAAAGAAAAUCUGUAAACUGCUUCUUUUAAGUGAAAAAAUGGAAGAUUCUUACUUAGGAAACUUUUAUAGCUUUGUAUCCUGAGGUUAGUAAGAGCUAUAAUAAGAAGGAAUCUUCUAUCCAUGAAACUGUGAAGGAAAAAGCAAUUCAUACUAAUUUUUCUAUCACACCUAAAACUGCAAAAUACUGCUGUGGUAUGUAUAUGUAAUAUGUAUAUAUUUAGAGAAAAAAAUUAGUAUACGUAGGGUUUGGUACUACCUGCAAUUUUAGGUCUCCCUGGGGAUCUCAGAAUGUAUCUCCCACAGAUAAGGGGGGAUUUCUAUAGCACAGAUUGAGCAGAUUAAAUAAUAGAAACUUAUUUUCUCACACAUCUACAGAUUAGAAGUCCAAGAUCAAGAGGUUUGGGAGGUUUGGUUUCUCUUAAGACCCCUAUCCUUUAGAAUCACUCUCCUUAUAUCAGAGAAAAUAUUCGGCAUUUGUUUUUUUUUGGGGGGGGGAUUGGAACUUCACUUAGCAUUAUCUUCUCAACGCCAUCCAUUUACCUACAAAUGCCAUGAUUUUAUUCUCUUUUAUUGCUGAGUAAUAUAUUCCAUUGUAUAUAUAUGCCACAUUUUUAAUCCAUUCAUAGUGGA
Molecule: long non-coding RNA, 3421 nt
Filed under: Marmota monax (woodchuck)
Lineage: Eukaryota; Metazoa; Chordata; Mammalia; Rodentia; Sciuridae
Source: RNAcentral